GUCGUCAGCUCGUGUCGUGAGAUGUUGGGUUAAGUCCCGCAACGAGCGCAACCCUUGUCAUUAGUUGCUACAUUCAGUUGGGCACUCUAAUGAGACUGCCGGUGACAAGCCGGAGGAAGGUGGGGAUGACGUCAAGUCCUCAUGGCCCUUAUAGGUGGGGCUACACACGUCAUACAAUGGCUGGUACAAAGGGUUGCCAACCCGCGAGGGGGAGGCCAAUCCCAUAAAGCCAGUCGUAGUCCGGAUCGUAGUCUGCAACUCGACUACGUGAAGUCGGAAUCGCUAGUAAUCGUGGAUCAGAAUGUCACGGUGAAUACGUUCCCGGGUCCGUU
RNAcentral lists this ribosomal RNA (332 nucleotides) under uncultured Rhodoferax sp. RNAcentral describes it as "bacterial SSU rRNA". It matches the Rfam family "Bacterial small subunit ribosomal RNA", at positions 1051 to 1380 of the family's 1533-position model. Lineage: Bacteria; Pseudomonadati; Pseudomonadota; Betaproteobacteria; Burkholderiales; Comamonadaceae. The record is from RNAcentral.